CCUACGGGUGGCAGCAGUGGGGAAUAUUGGGCAAUGGGCGCAAGCCUGACCCAGCAACGCCGCGUGCAGGAAGCAGGCUUUCGGGUUGUACACUUCUUUUCUAAGGGACGAAGAAAGUGACGGUUACUUAGGAAUAAGCUCAGGCUAACUACGUGCCAGCAGCCGCGGUAAUACGUAGGGAGCGAGCGUUAUCCGGAUUUACUGGGUGUAAAGGGCGUGUAGGCGGGAUGGCAAGGCAGGCGUGAAAACUAUGGGCUCAACACAUAGCCUGCGUGUGAACAUGUCGUUCUUGAGUGAUGGAGAGGCAAGCGGAAUUCCGUGUGUAGCGGUGAAAUGCGUAGAUAUACGGAGGAACACCAGUGGCGAAGGCGGCUUGCUGGACAUUAACUGACGCUGAGGCGCGAAAGCGUGGGGAGCAAACAGGAUUAGAUACCCUAGUAGUC
This 443-nucleotide ribosomal RNA is filed under the name uncultured bacterium. RNAcentral describes it as "partial 16S ribosomal RNA". It matches the Rfam family "Bacterial small subunit ribosomal RNA", at positions 338 to 795 of the family's 1533-position model. The record is from RNAcentral.